UACGGAGGGGGCUAGCGUUGUUCGGAAUUACUGGGCGUAAAGCGCACGUAGGUGGCUUUGUAAGUUAGAGGUGAAAGCCCGGGGCUCAACUCCGGAAUUGCCUUUAAGACUGCAUCGCUAGAACGUCGGAGAGGUAAGUGGAAUUCCGAGUGUAGAGGUGAAAUUCGUAGAUAUUCGCAAGAACACCAGUGGCGAAGGCGGCUCACUGGCCCGGUACUGACGCUGAGGUGCGAAAGCGUGGGGAGCAAACAGG
RNAcentral lists this ribosomal RNA (253 nucleotides) under uncultured bacterium. RNAcentral describes it as "partial 16S ribosomal RNA". It matches the Rfam family "Bacterial small subunit ribosomal RNA", at positions 524 to 776 of the family's 1533-position model. The record is from RNAcentral.